UACGGAGGGUGCAAGCGUUAAUCGGAAUUCCUGGGCGUAAAGCGCACGUAGGUGGUUUGCUAAGCCAGCUGUGAAAUCCCCGGGCUCAACCUGGGCACUGCAGUUGGAACUGGCAAGCUAGAGUAGGGUAGAGGGGUGUGGAAUUCCAGGUGUAGCGGUGAAAUGCGUAGAUAUCUGGAGGAACAUCAGUGGCGAAGGCGACACCCUGGACUCAUACUGACACUGAGGUGCGAAAGCGUGGGGAGCAAACAGG
RNAcentral lists this ribosomal RNA (253 nucleotides) under uncultured bacterium. Its description in RNAcentral is "partial 16S ribosomal RNA". It matches the Rfam family "Bacterial small subunit ribosomal RNA", at positions 524 to 776 of the family's 1533-position model. The record is from RNAcentral.